GUAACCUACGGGGCGCAGCAGUAGGGAAUCUUCCACAAUGGACGAAAGUCUGAUGGAGCAACGCCGCGUGAGUGAAGAAGGGCUUCGGCUCGUAAAGCUCUGUUGGUAGUGAAGAAAGAUAGAGGUAGUAACUGGUCUUUAUUUGACGGUAAUUACUUAGAAAGUCACGGCUAACUACGUGCCAGCAGCCGCGGUAAUACGUAGGUGGCAAGCGUUGUCCGGAUUUAUUGGGCGUAAAGCGAGUGCAGGCGGUUUAUUUAGGCUGAU
RNAcentral lists this ribosomal RNA (267 nucleotides) under uncultured bacterium. RNAcentral's name for it is "partial 16S ribosomal RNA". It matches the Rfam family "Bacterial small subunit ribosomal RNA", at positions 334 to 593 of the family's 1533-position model. The record is from RNAcentral.